This 502-nucleotide ribosomal RNA is filed under the name Paralecithodendrium sp. cercaria_morphotype_1-04. RNAcentral's name for it is "partial large subunit ribosomal RNA". It matches the Rfam family "Eukaryotic large subunit ribosomal RNA", at positions 333 to 634 of the family's 3401-position model. The record is from RNAcentral. Lineage: Eukaryota; Metazoa; Platyhelminthes; Trematoda; Plagiorchiida; Lecithodendriidae.
UCCGAUAGCAAACAAGUACCGUGAGGGAAAGUUGAAAAGUACUUUGAAGAGAGAGUAAACAGUGCGUGAAACCGAUCAGAGGUAAACGGGUGGAGUUGAACUGCAAGCUCUGAGAAUUCAGCUGGUGAGUGUGGUUUGAGCUUGGUCAAGUCAGUUGGAUUUUGUGGUCUGCGAGGCACUUAGCAAGUGUUGCAGGCCAUAGACUUCUUCGGGCUGGCUCACCUGUGCACUUUCUCAGAGUGGUCACCACGACCGGCAUUGCUGUCUGGCUGAUGGGGUUAAACCGGUUUUGCAUGGUCCUUGUGGCUCUGCUUGAUCGGGAUGGCAGGUAGCUCGUGGGGCCUGCUCAUGGUUCGCUGUGAGCGUGGUUUUCGAGUGUAAUCAGCUGACCACAUUGGUUCUGUGCAGUAUGUUGGAGACGGCGGCUAGUGCGCGUGCGUUCAUAGUUGGUCGGCGUGUCCGAAUUUGGUUGUUACGUUGCCUGUGUGUGCAGGCCUGAUGA